AACGAACGCUGGCGGCGCGCCUAAUACAUGCAAGUCGAGCGAGAAGGUGUAGCAAUACACUUGUAAAGCGGCGAACGGGUGAGGAAUACAUGGGUAAUCUACCAUCGAGUGGGGAAUAACCAACCGAAAGGUUGGCUAAUACCGCGUACGCCUCCGGGUCUUCGGGUUCGGAGGGAAAGCUGCACUGUGAGUGUAGCGCUCUUUGAUGAGCUCAUGUCCUAUCAGCUUGUUGGUAGGGUAACGGCCUACCAAGGCUUUGACGGGUAGCUGGUCUGAGAGGACGAUCAGCCACACUGGCACUGCGACACGGGCCAGACUCCUACGGGAGGCAGCAGUAAGGAAUAUUGCGCAAUGGGCGAAAGCCUGACGCAGCGACGCCGCGUGGGGGAUGAAGGUCUUCGGAUUGUAAACCCCUUUCGGGAGGGAGAUGGAGCGAGCAAUCGUUCGGACGGUACCUCCAGAAGCAGCCACGGCCAACUUCGUGCCAGCAGCCG
This 494-nucleotide ribosomal RNA is filed under the name uncultured bacterium. RNAcentral describes it as "bacterial SSU rRNA". It matches the Rfam family "Bacterial small subunit ribosomal RNA", at positions 29 to 517 of the family's 1533-position model. The record is from RNAcentral.